Molecule: ribosomal RNA, 496 nt
Filed under: uncultured bacterium
Lineage: Bacteria
Description: partial 16S ribosomal RNA
Rfam family: Bacterial small subunit ribosomal RNA
Source: RNAcentral
GAUGAACGCUGGCGGCGUGCCUAAUACAUGCAAGUCGAGCGAACGGACGAGAAGCUUGCUUCUCUGAUGUUAGCGGCGGACGGGUGAGUAACACGUGGAUAACCUACCUAUAAGACUGGGAUAACUUCGGGAAACCGUAGCUAAUACCGGAUAAUAUUUUGAACCGCAUGGUUCAAAAGUGAAAGACGGUCUUGCUGUCACUUAUAGAUGGAUCCGCGCUGCAUUAGCUAGUUGGUAAGGUAACGGCUUACCAAGGCAACGAUGCAUAGCCGACCUGAGGGGGUGACCGGCAACGCGGGAGAGAGGAACCGGCCCAACACCGGAAGGGGGGCAGGGGAGGGAAUUCUUCGGCAGGGGGGAAAGGCCAAACGGGGAAACGCGGGGGGGGGGAGAAAGAGCUAGGGUGGGUAAAACGUUUUUGUUGGGGAGGAACAAAGUUGGAAUUAACGGGCCGAUUUUGAGCGGAACCAAAGAAGAAGCCCCGGCUUACCUCGUG